Long non-coding RNA from Antechinus flavipes (yellow-footed antechinus), 1222 nucleotides. RefSeq lists it as uncharacterized. The record is from RefSeq and is a predicted model, not a curated record. Lineage: Eukaryota; Metazoa; Chordata; Mammalia; Dasyuromorphia; Dasyuridae. The transcript has 7 exons.
CACAGGAACUGUCUCUGUGUCAAGAGCAAAACUCCAGAGAUGGCAGCAGAUCCCUGUCAGCAGCAGGAGCAGCAACAGUACCAACCGUGCCAGAACAAUAAUAUUCCAUAAUAUUCAUAUACCAUAACUUACUCAGCCAUUCUCCAAUUGAUGGGCAUCCACUCAGUUUCCAGUUUCUGGCCACUACAAAGAGGGCUGCCACAAACAUUCUUGCACAUACAGAGGACUGUGGCUUCUGAGAGAUGAUGCCAUGAAAUGCAAGUGAGUUGGAAUUACGUGAGGGAAAUCUGUGCAAGGUCACCUGCUUCUCUUCAAAAGUUUUCUCAUCUGCCAAAUGAGCUGGAAAAGGAAAUGGCAAACCACGCCAGUAUUUUUGCCAAGAAAACCCCAAAUGGGGCCAAGAAGAGUCAGACAUGAUUGAAAAAUGACUGAACAACAACAACAAACAAAUAACAUUCAGUCAGGCUUGGAUCUCUGCCCUAGGUGAUCUUGAGAAUCUUCCUAAGACAAUUCAAAUGGAAGCAGCUCAGUUUCCUGGCACGGCCCUGGCACCCAGUCCAGAUUUCGCAGGUGUACCACAAUGAGGUCAGCACAAUGGCUCUGUAGACCUUCAGUUUGGCACUCACUCUCAUACCUCUCCCUCCCCACACCUUCCUUUGGAGCCUCCCAAACCCUGAGCAGGCUCUGGCGAUGAGCAAGUCAAUCUCAUUAUCAGUGUGGACAUCCUUGGGAAGCGCACUGCCAAGGUGCUAUCUGAAUGAACAAAAUGAAUCUCAUCAAAGCUCAGGAAAGUUUUUGUUCAGUGAGAAGAAUGCAUAAGUAACUCAGGCUGCUUCACAUGAAGGAAUUAAACCCCCACUACACUCUUGGAAGACACAAAGAAUAAAGGAAGAGAUAUUGAAGAGGAAAGACUUAGCACAAGAAGCCUUAAAAUUUGGAAAGAAAAAUAAACUUAUUGAAAAACAGGAACCCCAGCUACCACAGUUCCCUGAGCAUGAGGCACACAUUCUGGUAGCUUUUGUUCCCCUGCUAAUCCUCUGAAAAGUUCUGGCCAAAUUUAAUUGCUCUUUUCAAUCUCUUUAUAUCUCUCCUCUUUCUAUUUGUAAACUGUGCCUGGACUAUUCAGUUAACCUUUCUAAAGGGAAUAACCCAAUUAUAAAGUCUUUUAGAAAUGAAUUAAAACCUUUUAUCAUCUUGAAUUAUUUUCUACUUUCUGAGUAGG